GCCGAUGUAGCUCAGACGGUAGAGCAACUCCUUGGUAAGGAGUAGGUCGCCGAUUCGAUUUCGGCCAUUGGCU
This 73-nucleotide transfer RNA is filed under the name Arenimonas sp. RNAcentral describes it as "tRNA-Thr". It matches the Rfam family "tRNA". From Rfam's summary of the family: Transfer RNA (tRNA) molecules are approximately 80 nucleotides in length. Lineage: Bacteria; Pseudomonadati; Pseudomonadota; Gammaproteobacteria; Lysobacterales; Lysobacteraceae. The record is from RNAcentral. RNAcentral also lists the same sequence under 1 other name.